ACGAGACAUUGACUAAAAAAAAAAAACCAAAUUGGGAAUAACUUGUGAAUAUCUUGAACUAGAUUCCCAUCACGGCUACUGUGCCAUGUAAUCCAGAAGUCUAUCCCACUCACUUCGUUGCAUUUUCAGUGUAGUCAUUUCAGCAUACAUUUCAUCUUUAGCAUCAGGUAGCUCCACCUCGGCUGCUCUUCAUCUGCCUCCACUCUCGUGAAUGUCUCGUCUACUAUUCCUAAACGUAGUAGAAAAUUUUGUAUCUCCAUCGUAGCUACAACAACAGCAACUUGCGUUAGGAAAGGGUAGUUGGGAAUAUGAUCCAAGAUUUUCCAUCUCUGUUUUCACACACUGAAUGCACGUUCUAUGACGUUCCUGUAGGACAAGUAUUUGAAGUUAAACUUCUUUCAAGCAUUACAAAAUCUAUGAUGACAUCCCAUUCGUUCGUCUUGAAACUACUGAAAAUGGUACAAUAUAUUCGAACUUUUCUACGGAGCCAUAUACCCAGGGCGAUGAGUAAACUUGAAGUUGGCCAAAUAGUACUUCCCCAGGGCCGAUAAGGAAAAAUGUAUUUCCGGACUAUGGAUCUCAUGCGCAAGGAUUCGCAUCGUGCGUAUUCCCAAAUGUUCCUGCCAGCACAAGCAUGAAGCAUAAAUUAAAAUCAUAUAUGGCAACACAUUCUGGGUUGGCACUCCUUUCAAUCCUAUGAAGUUGAGAUGCUUGAGUUGCGGAAGCACAGCUUUCACAUGCGUUCCAUCAAUAGCACCGAUGCAGUCUCGAAAUAGUAGAUGCUUGCUCAAGUCAAUCCUGUGAGGCUCGAUAUCAUCGUUGUAGUUUGGACCCAGUUGAAAUAGACACGUCGAAACUGCAAUGAUCGUACCUAGGACCUUUUUCUGUUAGUGACAUACGGUUUGCAGUGAAUGGUUAAAUAUCAUUGUCAUCUGGCGAUAUCUCUUCUCGUGCGCUAAUAUGCACAGGAACAUGCCAAUUUACUCGUAGAUAUCAACCUACUAGAUGUUGCGUAGCCCAUGUUUGUCGUGCAAAGUAUGUACAAAAUGUUGUAGCAUUGCGGAUACAUAAGAAAUUCUUGAUAGCACAUCUGCCCAUUCUCGCCCAUUGUCUCCAUAAUAAACAUGUGACCGUUUAUUGAGAAUGGAAAUUGUUGGAUACGAUGUUGCUGUCUGCGUCGCUCUUGGUAAUUCUGCAGUACAUAACCCAUGCCGUUACAUUGGCUACCAAAUGGUUGAGGAACUACUUUUCCUCACAGUUGUUUUUUGUAUCGGAGCCCGAUAGUAGAACAUAGUUGAAGUUCAAGUCAUCCAUUACGCACAAGAUGCAAAAUAACGUAAAAUAGACACCCAAUAAGGGUUAUGGAGUUGCAGAGAAUGCAUUUUCCUCAUUUAACCUUAGAGCUCCACAUAUUUCUCUCCCUCACUCAAUACAGAGUAAUUUAUAGAAAGUGCACAUCAUUGGUACUACAUCCUUAACACUGAUUGAUUCUCCCUUGCAAGUUGCACCAACUGUACCACAACAUUGGUGCAUU
This 1534-nucleotide long non-coding RNA is filed under the name Olea europaea subsp. europaea. Lineage: Eukaryota; Viridiplantae; Streptophyta; Magnoliopsida; Lamiales; Oleaceae. The record is from RNAcentral.